GUCGAUGUACUUGAUAAUUCUGAGAGACAGGCGCAUGACUCUGAAUCUCCUCAGGAAAUGAGGAUGAAGACGCAGAUUGCCUCUGUCCAUAUCCUUCAUAAUUCUGAGAGGCAGAGGGAGCUGCAGAUUGCCUCUGUCCAUAUCGUUGAUUCUCCCUCGGAAAUGAGGAUUGGCUACCAGUGCUUAGAUGUAAAGAUGAAGGCGCAGA
This 208-nucleotide unclassified non-coding RNA is filed under the name Hevea brasiliensis (rubber tree). The record is from RNAcentral. Lineage: Eukaryota; Viridiplantae; Streptophyta; Magnoliopsida; Malpighiales; Euphorbiaceae.